GGGAUUUUUUUGGAAAAAAAAAAAAACUACAAGGUCUCCGUUGGUGAACCAGCGGAGGGAUCAUUACCGAGUUUACAACUCCCAAACCCCUGUGAACAUACCAAUUGUUGCCUCGGCGGAUCAGCCCGCUCCCGGUAAAACGGGACGGCCCGCCAGAGGACCCCUAAACUCUGUUUCUAUAUGUAACUUCUGAGUAAAACCAUAAAUAAAUCAAAACUUUCAACAACGGAUCUCUUGGUUCUGGCAUCGAUGAAGAACGCAGCAAAAUGCGAUAAGUAAUGUGAAUUGCAGAAUUCAGUGAAUCAUCGAAUCUUUGAACGCACAUUGCGCCCGCCAGUAUUCUGGCGGGCAUGCCUGUUCGAGCGUCAUUUCAACCCUCAAGCCCAGCUUGGUGUUGGGACUCGCGAGUCAAAUCGCGUUCCCCAAAUUGAUUGGCGGUCACGUCGAGCUUCCAUAGCGUAGUAGUAAAACCCUCGUUACUGGUAAUCGUCGCGGCCACGCCGUUAAACCCCAACUUCUGAAUGUGACCUCGGAUCAGGUAGGAAUUCCCGGC
This 553-nucleotide ribosomal RNA is filed under the name Fusarium verticillioides. RNAcentral describes it as "eukaryotic LSU rRNA". The stretch from base 215 to 368 matches the Rfam family "5.8S ribosomal RNA". Lineage: Eukaryota; Fungi; Ascomycota; Sordariomycetes; Hypocreales; Nectriaceae. The record is from RNAcentral.